GAAGAAGAUGGUGCAUUUUUUGAUACUAAUGAUUUUCUGUCUGCUGAAUCUCUUAGAAGUGCUUCUUAUCGCAGUAGAGAGGGUAUUGGAAAUGCUUGUAGCUCAUUAACUUCUGAGAAUGUGACCAUUACUGGUCAUACAAGGGAGGAGAUGGAAGUAAAGACAAUCAGUUAUCCCUAUAUCAAAAGAAGGGAUAAUCUACCAGAACCAAAGGAAAAAGAUAAGCCGG
This 229-nucleotide unclassified non-coding RNA is filed under the name Hevea brasiliensis (rubber tree). The record is from RNAcentral. Lineage: Eukaryota; Viridiplantae; Streptophyta; Magnoliopsida; Malpighiales; Euphorbiaceae.